Molecule: ribosomal RNA, 337 nt
Filed under: uncultured bacterium
Lineage: Bacteria
Description: bacterial SSU rRNA
Rfam family: Bacterial small subunit ribosomal RNA
Source: RNAcentral
GUCGGCCGGCCACAUCGGGACUGAGACACUGCCCGGACUCCUACGGGGGGCUGCAGUAACGAAUCUUCCCCAAUGCACGCAAGUAUGAGGGAGCGACGCCGCGUGGAGGAUGAAGUCCUUCGGGAUGUAAACUCCUGUCAGGGGUUACCAAGUUCUGAGGAGCCCCAGAGGAAGGCACGGCUAACUCUGUGCCAGCAGCCGCGGUAAGACAGAGGUGCCAAGCGUUAGGCGGAAUCACUGGGCUUAAAGCGUGUGUAGGCGGAUCGUUAAGUGCCUUGUGAAAUCCCACGGCUUAACCGUGGAACGGCUGGGCAUACUGGCGGUCUUGAGCUGCCUA